GAGAAACUAAAUUCAAUAUACACAAGACCAACAGAACGGAAUCGCCGAAUCGGUGAUGACGGGAGAGCAGUGAAUCCCAGUGAUGUUGAGUUUAAAAAAGAAAAAUAAUUUUGGAAACUUUUUCGGUGAGCUUGAGAGGAUGGAUGCACAAAACAGAUUUGCUAUGAUUUUCCCUGGAUUUAUAGACGACGAAAUUCCCCGCUCACCGACCAACAUCGAUUCCAGACGCAUUUGCAGAGAUUUCAAGUUAAGAGAAAGCGAUCGCAUGCCUGCAGAUGGUAAACCAAAAAUCCACAGUUAUUCUCAUAAAAAUUGGAAGAGAAACAGCCUGAUCAUGGGCGAUCGAUGAGGAAAAUAUACAUGGGGAGAUGAAGCAUCGGUCAUUUGUUUUUAUUUUGAAAGAAAUCUAUGAUUUGGUCGUCGUUCUUAUCCUUCAAAUUGUCAACAUAUCUGUUUUCCUUUUUUUGGAUAGGUUUCCGCAGUUUAUGUCGUAGUUUCGAUCAUCCUCUUCAGUUUUGAGUACUACUCGAACUCCGUAUGAUAUUAUUCUGCCCGGUGUAGACUGAAACUCCUCUGAAAUUACAAGUUUUGGCUCAAGGCUAAACUCGUUGAAGUCUACGUUACUUGGAACGUGGAAGAUGAACAUGUGAUGUGCUGAGAAUGCCUCUUUGUCAUUGCUGCUACGAGUACUCUCCGGUGGGAGAACGAAAUCGGGCUUGAGGUCAAUUCGGUAGGACUGGUUAUCUUCCUGUUUACAGCUAUAAGAAGAUGACGAGAGCUUUAUGUGAUAAGGACUCUGACAAGCAAUUAUGAUACAGGCAUCAAAACCCACAAACUCAGAGGCAUGCCAUAUUGGGGGUAUGCUGAUUUCUCUGGAAUAUUCCCUUGCUUGAUAGUCGAAGUAGAUGGGCACUCUACUUCCAGAUAAGCAAGCAAAACGCUGAGGCACCUAUUAAGAUCAAAUAUAAAAGAAAAGAUAUGGAACUGGAAUCGAUGUAUGAAUUGAGCAAGGGAGAAACACAAGGGAAGAAAGUUCACCUCUUCCUUUCGUCCACAUCUCAGAAAUCGAUCCAUCAGAUUCGCAACUUCAUUCAAUUUGGGGCAGUAGCUAAGAUCAACGUGUUUUAUGGAAUGAUCCAAGGGAAGGUGAAUAAUUUCCAGGGAAGUGCAGCCACGUGCAUAGAGAGAUGUAAGGUUUGGUGGAAGCUGUACCAUUGACUUGAGUUUCUUGCAGUCAUUGAGGCAGAGAGUAUUCAACAGCCUAAGGAAUCUGAUAGUUACAGGCAUCGUCACCAUAUCAUUUCCGCUGAGGUCUAAGUAUGUUAAAUUGGUGCAAUGACUAAACGUAUAUGACAAUUCAAAAACAUCAUUGCAGUUGUCAAGCCAAAGCUCAGCUAAGCGGUAUCCACGCUCAUCUUUUCUGGCAGCUGAAUGUCCUAGUGGACUUUGGAGAAGUAUACAGUUAGAAAGUUUGAGUGUCUCCAGUUGAGGUAGUUUUGGUAGUGUUUGAAGUUUGAGGCAGUUGCAAAGCCUGAGAGAUUUCAUACUAGAAAGAUUUUCCAUAUCUGUGGGUAGGCAUGUGAAAUCAUUUCCGCUGAGGUCCAGUUUUUGUAGGACCUGCAAAAGGCCAAUGUCAUCUGGGAUGCUUUCUAUGUUUAGGUUUAUGAGAUUUAACUCGGUUAACCAGAGGAAAUCUGAAAAGCUAUAACACUGGAAAGAGGCACUGUCUUUACGGUAGAUGAACUGCAUGAUGUCGAGUGAUUUAAAUCCGUAAAACUCAGACAUGAGCUUAGGCGUCUUUUGUACUUGCUUCAGAAAUUUGUUAGGGGUCCAUUGCUCGGAACUAAAGCAGAGGUGGUCUGCCUUUCCUCGGAGAUGUGACAACCAAAAAUUUAAUUUGCCAUGGAUGGCUAGACUCGUAAGAGAGUUCAGUGUAACUACAGCAUCUGGGAAACUCAAUGAAGCUUGCCGAAAAAGCCCUGGGCUACGUUUUUGAAGGGCAGGCAAUUCUCCUAUAAUCAUCUGAAGAUUGAUGAGGCGAUCACAGUGGGAUACAUCAAGUUUCUUCAGUGAAGGUAAGCUACCAAUUGUUUCCGGGAUUUGCUCCAACCUCGUGCAACCUUUAGCAAUCAGCUCCUCAAGCUUUGUUGCCCUUGAAAGAUCUGGAAGUUUGGUCAGAUUCUUAGAUCCAGUGACAUCUAGCAUCCUUAACUCCAAGAGCGACUGAAUAUCAUACAACAGAAAGGACAGUUUGGAUGGCGUUGGUGACAUUCUAAAUUUGUAAACGCUGAGAGUUGAAAACUGAAAAGCAAACUACAAGUUUCGUUUAUAGCUUACCAUUUUUCCAUCCCACAGGUUCUCCAGAUUGCUGUAACGCAGAUGAAGUUCAACAAGACGACUCAGAGGAAAUGUGGGAAGCAAGGUUGUUAAUGGAUAUGCGUCCCAAUGCAAUAGCCUAAGGCUGCGUGGAAGUACCAUACGAUUCUUUGAAUUGAUAUUCAGCUUGGACUCUCUAUCAUUUAAGUGUUUGAAGAAUUUGAGAAAUAUGAGAUUUUCCAUCUGCUCAAAAGCACUCCCAUCUAUGGAUGCUGCUCGGGGCAAUUCACACAUAUGUAGUGUCAUGCCUUGGAUUCUCUCUGUCCCCUGAUGAUUGAAUGUCAGAUUUACUUAGCAUACACAAAUAAAAGCACAAGAAGAAACCAUAUAAGACAAGUCCUAUGGAAGAAUAAAAAACAUGUCGUUCCUAGAAUACUUACUGUUUUGCUUUCCAGUACGCCAUAACUGUUAUGAGGAUCCCACAAAAUUCUUUGUUGUCGAGGUCCAGAUUGGUAUAGCUACUUCUUAAAAUAUCCAUGAUAUUCUGGUGAGGAGCUGUUUCAAGCGUGUCUAUUGCAUCUUCCCACUCGUCUAUAGAGGUCGCUCCACGGAGAAAUGAACCGAAAGCUACCAGGGCUAAAGGAAGACCUUGAGCGAGCUGAGAUGCUCGAAUCGCAAAACGUUCAUAUCCAUCAAGUGAAUCUAGCAAUCUUCUGUCACGUGUGGUUAUAAUGAUUCGGCUCCCUGGACCAAACCAGCUAGCCUCCUUUGCCAAGGCAUGUAACUGCUCCACUUUAUCAACACCAUCAAGCACAAAGAGAACCUUGAGGGUUCCAAGCCUUGACCGAAUAAGGUUUGCACCGUUUUGGAUGCUCAUCAAGGCCACUCGUUUUGUACUUAGAAUAUCGCAGAGAAGUUGUUGUUGUAUACAUUUUAGAUCAACUUUCUUACAGAUUUGGCCGACAUCUUCAAUGAAAGAAUGAGCUGGAAAUUGGCUUGCAAGCUGUUCAUAUAGAUACUUAGCAAUGGUAGUUUUUCCGAUGCCCCCCAUUCCCCAUAUUCCAACCAUACAAACCUCGGCAUCAAAGUCUUUCUUCAAGAGAGGUCUUAUGUUUUCCAUGUGAGCUUCCAUACCAACUAAAUCUUCAAAAGAAGUUGCUUGCAUAGAAGCUAACCGGCUUGAGAUGACUUCAACAAUUUCUUCAAGCAUCAUAGCCUCGUCCGCACUGCAAUGACAUGGUAGUAAUAAAUGAAUAUAUAGACUACCUUUUCUUCUCCAGGAGAAAAUAUAAGAAACACUUACCAAUAUCUGGAAACCAUGCCUGAGAGAUUGGCUACCAUGCACAGAGCUACUCUCCACCUUUGCACAAUAUCCGCGAAUUCUGGACCCUGGUACCUUUCUAAACCAAAACUUCCUCGCUGGUGUCUCACGUCAGAGGGAUCAACUUCAUAGAACAAGGGAAGGACUUUGAGUUUACCAAGGUUGUACAAUUCCAUUAUUAAUUGCAGUUCCAUCAAGCACCACCUUGACGUUGUGUAUCUUUCAGAGAGAACCACAACAGCGAACUUUGAACCUUCUAUGGCUCUGCGGAGGUGGCUAGAAAUAUGAUCACCUACCUCAAGAUCUUGAUCGUCUUUGAAAGUAAUGAUUCCCUUUGCACCAAGUGCUGCGUACAAAUGGCUGACAAUGGUUCUACGUGUAUCUUCCCCACGGAAGCUUAGGAAGACAUCAUAGUUACAGGGAGGAGGUGAAGACAAAGAC
Molecule: long non-coding RNA, 4078 nt
Filed under: Arabidopsis thaliana (thale cress)
Lineage: Eukaryota; Viridiplantae; Streptophyta; Magnoliopsida; Brassicales; Brassicaceae
Description: potential natural antisense gene, locus overlaps with AT5G48770 (AT5G48775)
Source: RNAcentral